Molecule: unclassified non-coding RNA, 20 nt
Filed under: Mus musculus (house mouse)
Lineage: Eukaryota; Metazoa; Chordata; Mammalia; Rodentia; Muridae
Description: oocyte_clustered_small_RNA12293
Source: RNAcentral
UAUUAGAUGUGGAUGGUGUU